This 811-nucleotide long non-coding RNA is filed under the name Fukomys damarensis (Damara mole-rat). Its description in RNAcentral is "lncRNA (ENSFDAG00000021638.1)". The record is from RNAcentral. Lineage: Eukaryota; Metazoa; Chordata; Mammalia; Rodentia; Bathyergidae.
CCCAGCUCUGCUUUCCACACACUGUGCUGUCGUUGCUUGUGUGCCGCUGGUGGGUGCCGUGCCGGGGGGGGGCGCUGAUUAACUGUGAUAAGGUUGUGCUUAUCACAGGAUACGACAGAAGGAGUCUUCCUGGCGCCCAGCACACUCCCCUGUCAGGGGCAGCGGGGCGGGGCUGCUGCUUGGGAUGAAGGUGCCAGACGCCUGCAGGGACACGGACGGCCACAGGGGGCGCCGAAGAGCGCUGCCCUGCCCUGAUCCGGGGUCGGCAUCAGAGAACCAGCCCCGCCCAGAGUCCCCUCAAAGGGAGCUGGAUGGUCUGGUGUGGGGAAGCGAGGUUGGAGCAGUGGACAGAAUGAGCCCCAGAAGACCAGAUGGAAGUGUUUUACCAUGGUGACGCAGCCAGCCACGCUCAGACUGGGGACUUCCUGGUCACCAGCUGCUCCAGCCACCUGUGACCUUUGAAGACGGGCCCUUGAAUGGGAACCGUUGUGCCCAGGUAGAGGUGUGGGAGAUGGUGGCGGUGGAGUGGAGCAGAGAGGCCGAGGAGGACAGGCGGGCCCCGAGGCACUCGAAGGUGUGUGGGUGCCAGGGCAGAACGCUUUGGGAAGCUGAUGUGCCAGUUAGCAGAACAGGUGGCAUCUCAGAGACCCCUGUGAAUUCAGUCAGGUGGCCCCGCUGGCCCUCCCACCCUGCUGUGUGGGCUGAGCUCUCCUGAUGCCUCCCACAGCUGACCAGUGCAGCCUUUCCCUUCUGGUCUCUUUGAGGGCAUGUUGGUCCCUGUGAAGUUGGCCUGGUGACCCUCCCGGCCCCA